ACCUCUGUAAACCCAUCAGAGACCAUAAGCAUGUGGAGAGCAUGAAUGGAAGACACAAGGACAUAAUUUGGUACACAAAACCAGUUUCAGCGGUGAAAUAUGAAGGAACCCAGCUUAGCUGAAAUGUCCUAAGAGUGAGUAAUUCAGAUAUAUGCAGGACGUUGAUCCAAACCCGCAGGCCAGGUCCGGAAGCUGCAUACCAACAACCACAUAAAUUGCAAAGCUCAGAGGAGGGAGGCUAAAAUUGUGCAGAGCUGGAGAGAAAUUGCAGAGAAAAUAACAAAAAAAAAAACCCACCACAAACCCACAAAAAAACCCCAGUCACCAAAACCAGCCAACCAAUCAACCAACAAAAAUACCCAAAAAAGGGAAAAAGAUCAAGAAAGCAACUUGGAAAGGAUAAAUGAAUUUAAUGUGAAAAAGGGACUUGAAGAAUCUCAAGAACAGAAGAAAAGAAACAGGAGGGGAUUGAAAGGCACCAGAACUUAUGGUGUACAAAUGCCUGAAACUGAGACAAUCCUCAAGCCUGGAAACAAAAGCACCUCUCCCUCCCCAAGUACAGGCAGCCCAAGACCUUCACUGAGCAGCACAAAUAACCCCAGUAAAUUGUCCAGUUUUGAAAACCCACCUUCA
Non-coding RNA from Phalacrocorax carbo (great cormorant), 633 nucleotides. The record is from RefSeq and is a predicted model, not a curated record. Lineage: Eukaryota; Metazoa; Chordata; Aves; Suliformes; Phalacrocoracidae.